UUAAGCGACUAAGCGUACACGGUGGAUGCCCUGGCAGUCAGAGGCGAUGAAGGACGUGCUAAUCUGCGAUAAGCGUCGGUAAGGUGAUAUGAACCGUUAUAACCGGCGAUUUCCGAAUGGGGAAACCCAGUGUGUUUCGACACACUAUCAUUAACUGAAUCCAUAGGUUAAUGAGGCGAACCGGGGGAACUGAAACAUCUAAGUACCCCGAGGAAAAGAAAUCAACCGAGAUUCCCCCAGUAGCGGCGAGCGAACGGGGAGCAGCCCAGAGCCUGAAUCAGUGUGUGUGUUAGUGGAAGCGUCUGGAAAGGCGCGCGAUACAGGGUGACAGCCCCGUACACAAAAAUGCACAUGCUGUGAGCUCGAUGAGUAGGGCGGGACACGUGGUAUCCUGUCUGAAUAUGGGGGGACCAUCCUCCAAGGCUAAAUACUCCUGACUGACCGAUAGUGAACCAGUACCGUGAGGGAAAGGCGAAAAGAACCCCGGCGAGGGGAGUGAAAAAGAACCUGAAACCGUGUACGUACAAGCAGUGGGAGCACGCUUAGGCGUGUGACUGCGUACCUUUUGUAUAAUGGGUCAGCGACUUAUAUUCUGUAGCAAGGUUAACCGAAUAGGGGAGCCGAAGGGAAACCGAGUCUUAACUGGGCGUUAAGUUGCAGGGUAUAGACCCGAAACCCGGUGAUCUAGCCAUGGGCAGGUUGAAGGUUGGGUAACACUAACUGGAGGACCGAACCGACUAAUGUUGAAAAAUUAGCGGAUGACUUGUGGCUGGGGGUGAAAGGCCAAUCAAACCGGGAGAUAGCUGGUUCUCCCCGAAAGCUAUUUAGGUAGCGCCUCGUGAAUUCAUCUCCGGGGGUAGAGCACUGUUUCGGCAAGGGGGUCAUCCCGACUUACCAACCCGAUGCAAACUGCGAAUACCGGAGAAUGUUAUCACGGGAGACACACGGCGGGUGCUAACGUCCGUCGUGAAGAGGGAAACAACCCAGACCGCCAGCUAAGGUCCCAAAGUCAUGGUUAAGUGGGAAACGAUGUGGGAAGGCCCAGACAGCCAGGAUGUUGGCUUAGAAGCAGCCAUCAUUUAAAGAAAGCGUAAUAGCUCACUGGUCGAGUCGGCCUGCGCGGAAGAUGUAACGGGGCUAAACCAUGCACCGAAGCUGCGGCAGCGACACUAUGUGUUGUUGGGUAGGGGAGCGUUCUGUAAGCCUGUGAAGGUGUGCUGUGAGGCAUGCUGGAGGUAUCAGAAGUGCGAAUGCUGACAUAAGUAACGAUAAAGCGGGUGAAAAGCCCGCUCGCCGGAAGACCAAGGGUUCCUGUCCAACGUUAAUCGGGGCAGGGUGAGUCGACCCCUAAGGCGAGGCCGAAAGGCGUAGUCGAUGGGAAACAGGUUAAUAUUCCUGUACUUGGUGUUACUGCGAAGGGGGGACGGAGAAGGCUAUGUUGGCCGGGCGACGGUUGUCCCGGUUUAAGCGUGUAGGCUGGUUUUCCAGGCAAAUCCGGAAAAUCAAGGCUGAGGCGUGAUGACGAGGCACUACGGUGCUGAAGCAACAAAUGCCCUGCUUCCAGGAAAAGCCUCUAAGCAUCAGGUAACAUCAAAUCGUACCCCAAACCGACACAGGUGGUCAGGUAGAGAAUACCAAGGCGCUUGAGAGAACUCGGGUGAAGGAACUAGGCAAAAUGGUGCCGUAACUUCGGGAGAAGGCACGCUGAUAUGUAGGUGAGGUCCCUCGCGGAUGGAGCUGAAAUCAGUCGAAGAUACCAGCUGGCUGCAACUGUUUAUUAAAAACACAGCACUGUGCAAACACGAAAGUGGACGUAUACGGUGUGACGCCUGCCCGGUGCCGGAAGGUUAAUUGAUGGGGUUAGCGCAAGCGAAGCUCUUGAUCGAAGCCCCGGUAAACGGCGGCCGUAACUAUAACGGUCCUAAGGUAGCGAAAUUCCUUGUCGGGUAAGUUCCGACCUGCACGAAUGGCGUAAUGAUGGCCAGGCUGUCUCCACCCGAGACUCAGUGAAAUUGAACUCGCUGUGAAGAUGCAGUGUACCCGCGGCAAGACGGAAAGACCCCGUGAACCUUUACUAUAGCUUGACACUGAACAUUGAGCCUUGAUGUGUAGGAUAGGUGGGAGGCUUAGAAGUGUGGACGCCAGUCUGCAUGGAGCCGACCUUGAAAUACCACCCUUUAAUGUUUGAUGUUCUAACGUUGACCCGUAAUCCGGGUUGCGGACAGUGUCUGGUGGGUAGUUUGACUGGGGCGGUCUCCUCCUAAAGAGUAACGGAGGAGCACGAAGGUUGGCUAAUCCUGGUCGGACAUCAGGAGGUUAGUGCAAUGGCAUAAGCCAGCUUGACUGCGAGCGUGACGGCGCGAGCAGGUGCGAAAGCAGGUCAUAGUGAUCCGGUGGUUCUGAAUGGAAGGGCCAUCGCUCAACGGAUAAAAGGUACUCCGGGGAUAACAGGCUGAUACCGCCCAAGAGUUCAUAUCGACGGCGGUGUUUGGCACCUCGAUGUCGGCUCAUCACAUCCUGGGGCUGAAGUAGGUCCCAAGGGUAUGGCUGUUCGCCAUUUAAAGUGGUACGCGAGCUGGGUUUAGAACGUCGUGAGACAGUUCGGUCCCUAUCUGCCGUGGGCGCUGGAGAACUGAGGGGGGCUGCUCCUAGUACGAGAGGACCGGAGUGGACGCAUCACUGGUGUUCGGGUUGUCAUGCCAAUGGCACUGCCCGGUAGCUAAAUGCGGAAGAGAUAAGUGCUGAAAGCAUCUAAGCACGAAACUUGCCCCGAGAUGAGUUCUCCCUGACCCUUUAAGGGUCCUGAAGGAACGUUGAAGACGACGACGUUGAUAGGCCGGGUGUGUAAGCGCAGCGAUGCGUUGAGCUAACCGGUACUAAUGAACCGUGAGGCUUAACCUU
This 2901-nucleotide ribosomal RNA is filed under the name Escherichia coli. Its description in RNAcentral is "bacterial LSU rRNA". It matches the Rfam family "Bacterial large subunit ribosomal RNA". The record is from RNAcentral. Lineage: Bacteria; Pseudomonadati; Pseudomonadota; Gammaproteobacteria; Enterobacterales; Enterobacteriaceae.